This is a long non-coding RNA of Helianthus annuus (common sunflower), 1639 nucleotides long. RefSeq lists it as uncharacterized. Lineage: Eukaryota; Viridiplantae; Streptophyta; Magnoliopsida; Asterales; Asteraceae. The record is from RefSeq and is a predicted model, not a curated record. The transcript is spliced from 5 exons.
AGGGCCAGAGAUGAUAAAUUAAAGGAGUAACUUUGCAGCUGAUGAUUGAGAAGAUAUGGCUAUGCUUCACAUAAUAAAUAGAAAAUAAUAUUAUUGCUGUACUUUGACCCUGUUGGUGCACACCCUACUGGUGAGAUUGGUGAACACUCACGUGGGGGUCCCCAACACUCAUAUGUUUUUUCAGUAAGUUGCCAUUGGGAGCCUACCUGAACUUAAGAGUUUUUGGAACUGACUACUUAACUAAAGAUGGAACAAGGGUACAGGAUUAUAUCCAUGUACAUUUAGCUGACGGAUACGCUGCUGCAUUGAAAAAGCUCUCUGUCCCAAAAAUAGGUGUGUCUAUGUAUUUUUUUCCUACUAAUUACAGUUUAAAGAAAUAUGCAAAAUUGAUACAUAGGGUUGUUUCAUUUGUGUCAAGCUGCUGCUGUAUUUGGAGGGAAGAGUUUGGCAACCCAAAUAUCUGAGAGAUUUGCAUAUGAGGUUUAUGUUUUUAUAAGACUUGUCUACAUAUUUAUUAAAAAUUUGAAUUAAAUGUUUAUUAAUUAAUCUGAUAUAGAUUGCAGGCGCUAUUUUUUUCAUUAUCUUUGUAAUCCAGUCAUUCUUUUCAACAAUAGAAUCAUAAGUAUGGAUACUGGAUACUACAAAGGUUUGUAUUCAUCAUCUUUCUCAUUUAGUAAAAGUCAUCUAAUAGUUAGAUUAUUAAUGUCAAAAUUCAUUGCUUCCACCUUCAAGUCCUUUAUUUAUACUUUUGAUUGAAUGUUGGUAACUAGAUUAAAUAUAUAGGAUGUGCCACUAGGAUGAGCACGGUACCCGUUCCGUACCGAAAAACGGGAAAAGUUGGUAUCGGUACUGGUACCGAAUAUACCGGUUCGAUACCGGUACCGGUACCGAAAAACGGGGAAAGUGGGUACCGUUACCAAUACCUUAACAAAUUCCUUUCUAAUCAAAUUUUCCCUAAAUUAUGUUAAUUCAAUUUCUUAGUUGAAUUCUCUACUUAUAAUCUUAUUUGAUUAUGAUGCCAGAGUGUAACCUUGAAAUGUUGAGGGGAAUAUCAUUUGUGUUUAACAAAAAUGUUGUGGUGACAGGAUUCUUUUCCAUCUCAGCAAUCCGUGAUCCGAUUGACCUAGGAUGCAGGCUCACACCAUAAUCUAGAAAUAACCAGAGUGGCCUUUGAAUUGUGUUCCGGAACUUACUGCUUCAUCAAACCAAUAAAUUUUAAAGUGCUCGGAGAGGGUAUAGAGGUUGCUUCUUGAGCGCCCAGUUGGAGAUUUAGAAGUUGUUGCCUGCUGAUACAUGGGAUCUUGAAUAGAGCUUGUAACUACUCUAUACAUAUCACCACUAUAUGCUAAAAUAAUGUUUUGGCCUCUUGCACUACCAUAAAAAAGUCACUUCAAAGCUGCAGCAAAAAUGAGAGCUAUGAAGCUUGAAAAUGGUAUUUACCUUAAUGUGGUCUCGGAUUUUACAAAAACUAUUCUUUCUCUUUUGUCAACAUACUUCAUCUUUUAGACAGUGCAGUGCACUUUUUUACUGAAAGGAGAAGCAUCAAAAUGAUCAUGAUCAUUCGUUUAUUCUUAUGUUAUCACUGACUUGGCUAUUGUUGCUUUCAACGAGGCUUGUAGGAUGAUUGGCUUUAAUUUAC